UGGGAGGUCGUCUAAUGGUAGGACAUGGGACUUUGAAUCCCAGAAUGAAGGUCCGAUUCCUUCCCUCCCAGCCA
RNAcentral lists this transfer RNA (74 nucleotides) under Candidatus Liptonbacteria bacterium RIFCSPLOWO2_01_FULL_45_15. RNAcentral's name for it is "tRNA-Gln". It matches the Rfam family "tRNA". Rfam says of the family: Transfer RNA (tRNA) molecules are approximately 80 nucleotides in length. Their secondary structure includes four short double-helical elements and three loops (D, anti-codon, and T loops). The record is from RNAcentral. Lineage: Bacteria; Candidatus Liptoniibacteriota. RNAcentral also lists the same sequence under 2 other names.